RNAcentral lists this ribosomal RNA (332 nucleotides) under uncultured Planctomycetota bacterium. RNAcentral describes it as "bacterial SSU rRNA". It matches the Rfam family "Bacterial small subunit ribosomal RNA", at positions 568 to 898 of the family's 1533-position model. Lineage: Bacteria; Pseudomonadati; Planctomycetota. The record is from RNAcentral.
UGCGUAGGCUGCGCUGUAAGUCGGGUGUGAAAUCCCUCAGCUUAACUGAGGAAUUGCGCCCGAUACUGCAGUGCUCGAGGGAGACAGGGGUCAGCGGAACUGAUGGUGGAGCGGUGAAAUGUGUUGAUAUCAUCAGGAACACCGGUGGCGAAAGCGGCUGACUGGGUCUCUUCUGACGCUGAGGCACGAAAGCUAGGGUAGCGAACGGGAUUAGAUACCCCGGUAGUCCUAGCCGUAAACGAUGAGCACUUGAUCGGAGACUCCUCCAUAGGUUUCCGGUCGUAGCGAAAGUGUUAAGUGCUCCGCCUGGGGAGUAUGGUCGCAAGGCUGAA